This 216-nucleotide ribosomal RNA is filed under the name Glomeromycotina sp. Its description in RNAcentral is "partial small subunit ribosomal RNA". The stretch from base 40 to 216 matches the Rfam family "Eukaryotic small subunit ribosomal RNA", at positions 686 to 864 of the family's 1831-position model. Lineage: Eukaryota; Fungi; Glomeromycota. The record is from RNAcentral.
GGUUCAGUAGGUUCGUCGUGCCACCGGUACGUACUGGUCUCACUGAUUCCUCCUUCCUGAAGAACCGUAAUGCCAUUAAUUUGGUGUUGCGGGGAAACAGGACUGUUACUUUGAAAAAAUUAGAGUGUUUAUAGCAAGCUAACGCUUGAAUACAUUAGCAUGGAAUAAUGAAAUAGGACGAUCGAUCCUAUUUUGUUGGUUUCUAGGAUUGACGUA